GCAGCGAAACGCGAUAGUUAAUGUGAAUUGCAGAAUUCAGUGAAUCAUCGAGUCUUUGAACGCACAUUGCGCCCAUUGGUAUUCCAUUGGGCAUGUCUGUUUGAGCGUCAUUACAAACCAUUGACAUCAGUCAGUAUUGGGCCGGCUGCCCGAGCGAGAGCUCGCGCCGGCUUUAAAGUAGUACGCUUUGCCAACCGCCAUUCCAAGCCAAAAACAUAGUAAUCAUAACGCUUGUUGAGGAUGGAUGGACUUCUGGUUCGGCCUGAACAAAACCCACUUGUGGUUUGACCUCAGAUCAGACAAGGAUACCCGCUGAACUUAAGCAUAUCAAUAAGCGGAGGA
Molecule: ribosomal RNA, 342 nt
Filed under: uncultured Orbiliaceae
Lineage: Eukaryota; Fungi; Ascomycota; Orbiliomycetes; Orbiliales
Description: eukaryotic LSU rRNA
Rfam family: 5.8S ribosomal RNA (bases 1-110)
Source: RNAcentral